GGCAGCAGGGUUGGGCUCUCGCCGUGAGUCGACGAAGGGAGCGCGGGCGCGCGCCCGCGUCCGCGCACUGAGAGUCGCCUCGGCCGCUCGCUUUCUCGACUCCCGCCUCGCGCCUCGAUCCUGUUCCGCCUCCCUCGGCCCUCCUGCCCGCCCCCACUCGUCGGCCCUCAGCAUUGUCUUUGAAUAUUAGCAAAUAAUGGAACAUGGGCCAAGGGUGAACCAUGACGAAUUUGUGUUCCAGCAGCCCUGCUUCUUUAGAAUUGACAGUCUGGCUUCGUGGUUAAUUCACAGCAUCUGAGGAAUACAUCCAAAGAGGGUGAUACUGUGGCAUGAUGGUACCAGGAUUCCAAGUUCAUUCCAGAGAAGAUGGCAAGAUGCAGAGAGGAGGAGUCACGCCUGAAGCCACACAGCUGACAUCAGAGCCAAAGCAUGAGCCUCAGUCUCUCUGACCCAGAGCUACCACCCUUGCUGCCUUGGGAAGAAGGAAGCCCCCUCCUAUUCUAUCCUUGAGCUGCCUUGGCAAGGAGGGGCCCCUUGCUGCCGCCAUCCUCACAGGACACCAUCCACAUGAGGGGAUGGUGAGCUCCACUUCCACCUUUUCUACAUGUCUGCUCUUUAAACUGCACACGUUGAUUCAUUCAUUCAUUCAUUCAUUCAUUCCCUUGAUAUUACCAUUCAUUUAUUCAUCAAGUAUUUAUUGAGCAUAUUUAUCUGCAUGGCAUUGUGCUAAUCGUAAUCAUCAUAUUCACCACUGCUGAGCAGAACAGUCAGGGUGCUGCCCUCAGGGAGUUACCAUGUAGUAAAGGAGACAGAUGGAAUCACACAGAGGAAUGCACGUCUGAUUGUAGCCUGACUGGAGUGCCAUGAAGGAGACCAAGAGGGCAGGGUGAUGGAGAAAGCACAGGAUGAAGUUCUCGUCUUCCUUCCAACAGAAUCUCAGUUGCACUCAGUUGUUGCCCCCCUCGAACCUCCCUUGAGCCUCAGGAGAAACCACCCUGAUUCAGAGGUCCAGAGAAGACCUGACUAGCCCAAGGUAAUUCCGUCCCCUUGCCAGAGUGGCUUGGGCAGGGACACGGGACCUAUUUCAAUGAGGCCAAUGAGACAAAGGUAUUUCUGCUGGGGAGGCAGGGGCUUCAAGCAAAGGGUCUUGCUUGAAAGAGCCACCGGAAGAGGGCUCUCUCCUUCCUUAGGGUGUCACCGUGUCUGGAUGCGAUGCCUGGAAGUGCUACAGCCACUCGCGCCCAGCCUGAAGAUGAAACCAACCCCAAACACAGCCAAGCAGAGAGAUGGAAAGAACUAGGACCCUAAUUACACCACUGAGCAGCUAUAGCAACCAGUUCCAGAGCCCUCUGACUUCCCGCCAAAGUGAGAUGAUAAGAUACUGUUUAAUUUCUCUCUUUUAUAGCCAAACACACCAAAAUUGACACAGAGAUGUGAGCCAUACCUACUACUGUUACUGCUCCAUCCCUAGCUCCAACCACAGUGCAUGGUACAUGGUAGAGAGCCAACAAACACUUGAAGAAUGAAUGGUGCAUAUUGAGUGGGAUUUUCCAGAGGCAGACCUGGAGACAAGGCUUCAAGUGCGUGUGUUGUAUUAAGGAAAUGCUCCCAGGGGACAAUAGCAGAGUGGCAGAAAUGGGACAAGGGGGCCAGGGAGCCAAGAACAGAGAAUCAAUCGUCUAAACAGAGCCCCCUGUUUUUUGUUUCACCUGGGAGUAGCUUCUACCUGAUCCCCAGGGGAACUCUGGGAUGUCAGUGACGGCUCAGCAUUGCCCCUGAGGCAAGGGAGCUGGGCUUUCCUAAUCCCCCACUCCUCAGUCUCUGGCUAAGCGCUGUCCCCAGGGGACUUAAUCACCCAAACACUUCCCCAAGAGUGGCAUCUGCUGACCACUGGAGGCACUGGUACAGUGAAGCGACAGAAGGGAUCAGAGAGGGUCCAGGUGGAGCACAGCAAUGUGGCUGAAUAAUAACUAUAUUAAUUCAUAUAGUUAAUUCUCAAGCAAUGGCAAAGUGUAGGCAGCUUCUUGUCUGCAAACGUUUCCAUGAUAUCUCUCCUGCAGCCAGACGGGUCUUUUCCUGCCGCCUACACAGAAUGGCCAUGGAGCAUCCCCAACUCUUAUUAAAAUGGAAAAAAAAAAAGCCUUUGCAUUUCAAUCUAUUAUUGCACUUUAUGACUCAUCUUCAGGUUCUCUCUGCAAAACAUUGAAAGCCAGAUCAUAAUUUGAUGAUGAAAUAUUGAUUAUGCAUUUGUAUGCAGAGGUCUAUACUAUAUAGAUAGAAUUCCCACCCUGUAGUAUCUUCUAUUUUAAGUCAGUAUGAAGAUGGAUGUUCCCCCCAGGCAAAUUUUGAUAAGAUACUUGUGUCAAUACAAAAAGAGAUUAAUGCCAAUGUGAAUCAAUACCCGCUUAUUGGUUUGGGUUGCUUCUUCUCCACGCAGCAGCUGGCACCAAGAGGGGUUUCCAAACACCAGCGGCUCCCAGCCAAUCUGCAUAUUUCUUUAUUUAAAUCAUGAGAGUGGGAAGUGGCAAGGGAAUGGUGGGUUGGCAGGGGGCUGCCCACGCCCACUCCCAAAUUGAGAAGGGAAUGAAAAUAAAACAAACGCAACUUGUCAACAAAUCUGGGAGAAGCUUUAUUACCAUCAUUAGCAGUGUGCUUGUCCUCUGCUGCUUCCAAAAAGAAUAAACUUCAAAUGACAGAAGAAGAGCGGUCUCCAUCCUUGCUGGGUUCUCAGCGUACAGCAGGGACUGGGCUUAUCUUGACUGUGCAUCUGCUGUGUUUCCUGCCCAGCCCCCACUGCCACCUGCAAUGCCCUAUAUUUAGUGCUUCUUUAAAAUCUCAUUUAUCAUCUCCCAUCCCCACCAAAAAGUAAGGUCCAAAACCACGGAGGAUUUUUUUUUUUUGCGGGGGCGGGGGUGGUAUUUUUUGUUCACUGCUGAAUUUCCAA
Homo sapiens (human) is the source of this 2944-nucleotide long non-coding RNA. NCBI's taxonomy places the organism in Eukaryota, Metazoa, Chordata, Mammalia, Primates, Hominidae. The record is from Ensembl.